Mytilus californianus (California mussel) is the source of this 1087-nucleotide long non-coding RNA. RefSeq lists it as uncharacterized. The record is from RefSeq and is a predicted model, not a curated record. The transcript has 2 exons. Lineage: Eukaryota; Metazoa; Mollusca; Bivalvia; Mytilida; Mytilidae.
AGUAGAAUAAAUAUUCAGGAAAGAAAUAACUUAUGUAAUAACCAAUGAAAUGAAUUGUAAAAUAUAAAUACAUAAUGGCGCAUAUAGAAGUUGACAGACGAAGAUACUUGCACAAAUAAACAGAGGCAUGUACACGCAUAUAUAUACUUGAAGAAAUAACGCUUUGUGAAAGACAUCACAUAGUCAUCAUCUAGAUUGAAGUCAAGAUAGCCGGAAGUAGUUAUAAUGGCAUAUAAAGCGCUGCCUACACCGUAGACCUUUUAGCAAAAUGCGGCAAUCGACAUUAGUGACGGAAAAAUACGUUAUUUAAAAAAGCAUCGAUAUUAGUACGUUUAAUCAAUUUUCAAAGCAAGCAUGUCAAAGACCUACAAUAUAAAUACAGGAAAUGUGGUAUACUUGCCAAUGAGAAGACCAAAUGCAAGGUCUUUUAGAAUUUCUAAUCUUUAUUGCUAUAUUUAAAGUAAUUGAUUCAUGCACUAUACCGUUAUUCAACCAUUGCGUUUGAUAUCCAUUAAAUAAUUAGCAAUCCAUCAAAUCACAUUAAAACAAAACUAAAUUUUCUAUUUAUGUUUCUGCAUUGACGUUCUGUGCAAGUAUUUUCAGGAUAAUACAUCACAAUGGUGUCACUAUAUCCAUUGUUGUUUAUAAUCUAGACUUUGCAUCAUAGCUUCCGACAUGGGAUUGUGGGACUUUGGGAUUCAAUAUACCCGGGAUGUACAAACUGUCACAUUAGAUGGCAUAAUGCUGAUAGUCACACAAUAUAAAGUAGAGGAUAAAAAGACAAACGCAAGGGAAUAAAACGUUGCAGUCUGAAUCUAGUAGCCUAGACUUGGAAGUGAACAACCUUACUAGAGGACAGUUUCAAGUGUAAAUUCAAACAAUGAUGCGUCGUUUAUAAAAGUAAAGAAGAAUAGUUGAUGUUUAAAAAAAGAUGACUAAAAUGUUUCAAACUAUGUGUAUUGAUGCUUCAUUCAAUUUGUGGUUAGUGUAUAUAUAAUGAUUUAAUAUCCCUGUUAUUUAUACUGACAGACGCAAACUUUCAAUAAUGAGCAAGGCAGAGAUAUAAAAUAAAAGAAAUAUUAAUGCA